This 338-nucleotide ribosomal RNA is filed under the name uncultured bacterium. RNAcentral's name for it is "bacterial SSU rRNA". It matches the Rfam family "Bacterial small subunit ribosomal RNA", at positions 22 to 356 of the family's 1533-position model. The record is from RNAcentral.
GCUCAGAUUGAACGCUGGCGGCAGGCCUAACACAUGCAAGUCGAACGGUAACAGGAAGCAGCUUGCUGCUUCGCUGACGAGUGGCGGACGGGUGAGUAAUGUCUGGGAAACUGCCUGAUGGAGGGGGAUAACUACUGGAAACGGUAGCUAAUACCGCAUAACGUCGCAAGACCAAAGAGGGGGACCUUCGGGCCUCUUGCCAUCGGAUGUGCCCAGAUGGGAUUAGCUAGUAGGUGGGGUAACGGCUCACCUAGGCGACGAUCCCUAGCUGGUCUGAGAGGAUGACCAGCCACAUUGGGACUGAGACACGGCCCAGACUCCUACGGGAGGCAGCAGUA